RNAcentral lists this ribosomal RNA (253 nucleotides) under uncultured bacterium. RNAcentral's name for it is "partial 16S ribosomal RNA". It matches the Rfam family "Bacterial small subunit ribosomal RNA", at positions 524 to 776 of the family's 1533-position model. The record is from RNAcentral.
UACGAACUGUGCAAACGUUAUUCGGAAUCACUGGGCUUACAGGGUGCGUAGGCGGUCUGUUAAGUAGGGUGUGAAAGCCCCCGGCUCAACCGGGGAAUUGCGCCCUAAACUGGCGGACUGGAGUGAGAUAGGGGUGUGCGGAACUUCCGGUGGCGCGGUGAAAUGUGUUGAUAUCGGAAGGAACGCCGGUGGCGAAAGCGGCACACUGGAUCUCAACUGACGCUGAGGCACGAAAGCCAGGGGAGCGAACGGG